RNAcentral lists this ribosomal RNA (381 nucleotides) under uncultured bacterium. RNAcentral describes it as "bacterial SSU rRNA". It matches the Rfam family "Bacterial small subunit ribosomal RNA", at positions 108 to 485 of the family's 1533-position model. The record is from RNAcentral.
GAGUAAUACAUCGGAACGUGCCCAGUCGUGGGGGAUAACUACUCGAAAGAGUAGCUAAUACCGCAUACGAUCUGAGGAUGAAAGCGGGGGACCUUCGGGCCUCGCGCGAUUGGAGCGGCCGAUGGCAGAUUAGGUAGUUGGUGGGAUAAAAGCUUACCAAGCCGACGAUCUGUAGCUGGUCUGAGAGGACGACCAGCCACACUGGGACUGAGACACGGCCCAGACUCCUACGGGAGGCAGCAGUGGGGAAUUUUGGACAAUGGGCGAAAGCCUGAUCCAGCAAUGCCGCGUGCAGGAUGAAGGCCUUCGGGUUGUAAACUGCUUUUGUACGGAACGAAAAAGCUUCUCCUAAUACGAGAGGCCCAUGACGGUACCGUAAGC